GUCGAUGGAUCAACCAUUAACCCAUUUAAUUUUAUGGGUCAUGGGUCAACUCAACCAAUUUAAUAAAUGGGUUGGGUUGACCCAUGACCCAUUAACAAUCAACCCAUUUGGGUUAUGGGU
Molecule: microRNA precursor, 120 nt
Filed under: Brassica oleracea var. oleracea
Lineage: Eukaryota; Viridiplantae; Streptophyta; Magnoliopsida; Brassicales; Brassicaceae
Description: pre miRNA MIR405
Source: RNAcentral